UCGGGUUGUGUUUUUGGUGGUUUAAAGAUUGGGAUAUCAAUUAUGUAUUCUGCUGAGAGACGGAACAAUGGGAUCUGAGAGAUUGAAUCUUCUCCACAAUGUCAAGUUGAAUCUGCCAUGUUUGAAGUGUUUUUUUUUUCUUUUUUUUUUGGGGGGGGGGUGGUCAAUGGCUAAAUCGGCUCCUUUGGUAGUUGAAGAAUAAAUUAAAUCUUCGCUGAAAUAAUGGGUGGGUUUUCAUGGAGGGGUUUUCUGAGCUUUUUUUUUUUCUUUUUUGCUGUUGAAAAGUAAAUUGAAGCUUUGUACGAUGGGUGGGUUUUUUAGGAAGGUUUUUAUGAGUUCUUGAGAAUAAUCUAAAAUUUUAACUUGGAAGUACUGAAAUUUAAUAUGAUUCCAGCGAAGUUAAUUGACGGGUUUCAAUUUUUUAUUCUAAGUUUAUAGUUUGCACUAAAUAUGAUUCCAUCCAGAAUCAUUUCAAAUCCAAAUAUCCAUCUGUUUCUUUUUUUCUUUUUCUUACUUACUCUUCGAUUUCGUUCUUUCAAAUCCAUAGCAGUUAUGUUACUCAAUGAGGUGAACAAAGGGGAAAAAUGAUGGUUGGGUGGUGGAGAAUGAGGUAAGGAUGGGGAGAGUUCUCUGUUUCUUGAGAAAGUUCCUUUAUGGAGUUCUUCUAAUAGGGUGUCUACGUUUUAUGAGUUGUUUAACUGAUACUUUUG
RNAcentral lists this long non-coding RNA (710 nucleotides) under Gossypium raimondii (Peruvian cotton). Its description in RNAcentral is "long non-coding RNA (GRAI_LNC009436)". Lineage: Eukaryota; Viridiplantae; Streptophyta; Magnoliopsida; Malvales; Malvaceae. The record is from RNAcentral.